CUCAGAUGGUUAGUCAAGGAGCAUUUUCUAGAAGUGUGUUUUAAACAAGAUUUAAGAGAAGCUAUAGAUAUACACCGGUGAAAAAGAAAGGUUCAGAUAAAAGGGAAGUAAAACAAAUUAUGCACUGGGGAGCUAUAUCAGAAGAAGGGAGAAUGGAUGCUAAUAAAAAAGAAAGAUGUCCAUCGCAGGAUGGUUAAGCAAGCUCUUGGCUGGAACGGAUAAGGAAUGUUGGGAAGCAGUGACUGGUAACAUUACUGAGAUGUAGAUUCACAAUCUUGCUACCCACAUUUUGCCUGAAUACUUGGCUAGAUUCUAAGGGAAAAUCAAAGAGGGGAGAUAGUGCUUGACCUGUUAGAACUUACAUUCUUGCUGAUGAGACAAGGCAACUGAAGGUAGAGAAGGGAUGGCCUGUAAGGGCAGCUUGGGUUUUAUAUGGUGUGUGAUGGAAGGAGCCUUUGUAGAGUCUCAUGUAUCAUCCUGUCUCUGUCAUCUGCUCAGGAGGGAGAGGUCUGAGCUGGGAAAUAUCACACUGAGCAGGUGACGACGUUUCCAAAAUCAAUUCUUGUCACUAUAUAUAAUUAAUUAGCAAAAGAGCUUUUUUUUCCCCCCCACAAAACUCUUUUGAACCAUUUCAGAAAAAAAGAUGGGCUGCCUAGAGUCUUCCAUCCAUGAUUAACAGUUAAUGGAAAACCACUGGUUUGCUUAUGCAGACAGCACUUGAUGUCAGUAACUUCAAGCUGUUUUCCAAUUUUACAGUAAAGUUUUAUACUGAAACCAAUUUAGGAAGCUAUUUAGUCCGCUGUUUUUUUUGUUUUUUGUUUUUUUGUUUUUGUUUUUGUUAUUUUUUGUGGAAAGAUGAUGUGGGUAGAGUAGAAUAAUGACAUUUCCUUUUCCACACCAAAAUAUUACCAAGGUACUAAUGGCUCCAUUUUACCAAUGGUUCCAUUUG
This is a long non-coding RNA of Hyaena hyaena (striped hyena), 949 nucleotides long. RefSeq lists it as uncharacterized. NCBI's taxonomy places the organism in Eukaryota, Metazoa, Chordata, Mammalia, Carnivora, Hyaenidae. The transcript has 3 exons. The record is from RefSeq and is a predicted model, not a curated record.